Molecule: long non-coding RNA, 592 nt
Organism: Nomascus leucogenys (northern white-cheeked gibbon)
Lineage: Eukaryota; Metazoa; Chordata; Mammalia; Primates; Hylobatidae
Exons: 2
Source: RefSeq, a predicted model, not a curated record
AUAAUGCGUGGAAAGCAAUCUGCACUGCACCCUGCAGGAAAGGAAGCUGCUGUUCCUGUUCGCAUGUGCCAGGCAGUUACUGUGGAGAUGUACGCUUCAUUAAAACACCGCCAUCUUCACCAGGCUGCAGAGAUACCAGUGUUACUGCACAGCUGAGAUGAGGAGCUGACUGAUCCUGUUGGGAGGACCUGGAGAUGAUUCAUGGGCAGCGGCUGUGCCUGCAGUUCCUCCAGCUCCCACCAGAACUGCUUCUUCAGCUUCACUGAAUCUUGGGUUUAUGAGCAAUUCCAUGGUGAAGUGCACCAGCUCUUCUGCAGGUCAUCUUCAUCAUCAGAGCUUCAUCAUCAGAGCUUCAUCAUCAGAGCUGGAGUGUUGGAGCUGAGAGGCUGACGUGGAAGACAUCAGUUUCAGUCCAUCCACAGGAGUUCCAUCUCCUCCCUGCAGGUGCAGCUCAUGCCUACCCUCUCCCACUGCACAUCCAUCUGCCAGCACUGCUGACUUCAGGCCCACUCCUGGACACAGGGGCAGCAAGUUGCAGCUCUCAUAACAAUGUGUAUCCUAAUCUCUUUAAUAAAUUUCUUGUUUUGCUCAA